This 392-nucleotide ribosomal RNA is filed under the name uncultured bacterium. Its description in RNAcentral is "partial 16S ribosomal RNA". It matches the Rfam family "Bacterial small subunit ribosomal RNA", at positions 523 to 918 of the family's 1533-position model. The record is from RNAcentral.
AUACGGAGGAUCCGAGCGUUAUCUGGAUUUAUUGGGUUUAAAGGGUGCGCAGGCGGCCAUUUAAGUCAGCGGUUAAAUCGUGGGGCUCCACCCCAUUCUGCCGUUGAUACUGGGUGGCUUGAUUGCGGUCGAGGUUGGCGGAAUUCGUUGUGUAGCGGUGAAAUGCAUAGAUAUGACGAAGAACACCGAUUGCGUAGGCAGCUGACCAGACCGCAAAUGACGCUCAUGCACGAAAGUGCGGGGAUCGAACAGGAUUAGAUACCCUGGUAGUCCGCACAGUAAACGAUGAAUACUUGUUUUCGGCGAUAUAAUGUCGGAGGCAAAGCGAAAGCGAUAAGUAUUCCACCAGGGGAGUACGCCGGCAACGGUGAAACUUAAAGGAAUUGACGGGG